Molecule: long non-coding RNA, 399 nt
Organism: Homo sapiens (human)
Lineage: Eukaryota; Metazoa; Chordata; Mammalia; Primates; Hominidae
Source: Ensembl
UCCAAGGCGAGGUGGAGCAGGAGCGCAGGAGAUUUCCCCAGGCCACUCAGAACGGCCCACUUCAAAUGCGGAGAGAUACACCUGCAGUUUCUGAAUGGAUUUCUUCAACAAUGCCGCCUAAUUGACUCACAUUAAAAAUACUUUGAUCGACCCAUCUCUUUGUCACAUGAAGCUGGAAACACUAACAGAGGCUGUUGGAAAGAAAGGUCUGGUUCCGUGGCCAAAUACCUUGACUUUUCCAAAAACAGACUUUUUCUGUCUCUUCAGAAGAAGAAUUACAUGCAAUGGGAAGAUUGAUGUUCCUCUGUCAGAAAGCUACCUUGGAACAGGUGCUCCCAAUUAAUUUCCAUGAGCCACAUUUAUCCUGUGGUCAGAUAAUUAAAAAAAAAAUAACCUGGA